UACGUAGGGGGCAAGCGUUAUCCGGAUUUACUGGGUGUAAAGGGAGCGUAGGUGGCAUGGUAAGCCAGAAGUGAAAACCCAGGGCUCAACUCUGUGGAUUGCUUUUGGAACUAUCAAGCUAGAGUGCUGGAGGGGUAAGCGGAAUUCCUAGUGUAGCGGUGAAAUGCGUAGAUAUUAGGAGGAACACCGGUGGCGAAGGCGGCUUACUGGACAGAAACUGACACUGAGGCUCGAAAGCGUGGGGAGCAAACAGG
Molecule: ribosomal RNA, 254 nt
Filed under: uncultured bacterium
Lineage: Bacteria
Description: partial 16S ribosomal RNA
Rfam family: Bacterial small subunit ribosomal RNA
Source: RNAcentral